Long non-coding RNA from Protopterus annectens (West African lungfish), 2074 nucleotides. RefSeq lists it as uncharacterized. The record is from RefSeq and is a predicted model, not a curated record. NCBI's taxonomy places the organism in Eukaryota, Metazoa, Chordata, Ceratodontiformes, Protopteridae. The transcript has 3 exons.
UGGAGAUGGAACAUUUACCCUUUGCAGCUAUUUUUGUUUAUUGUUGCUUGGUAUUGCAAGUGACGGCCGUUGCCUCUGUUCUUAGGGAGCUGUUUGGAUUCUGUUCCAUUCUUCUGGAACUAUCUGAAAGUUAAACUGGAUGCGUUUGCAAGGUUGUAAGAUGCUCUUAUUUUCUAGAGUUUUUUGACUACUGAUCUGUACAGGGGUCUGAAAUGCAGGUGGUCUUCUCAAUUGUCGGUUGUCUGCUGGUUUCCAUAGUGACAAGAAGGCACUGAGUAGUGAAGUCCUGCUGAUGCAUUGCCCACAGUGGAUGCCGAGAUGUGCAUAUAAGAGCAUUUUGGUGGAUGGAUCAAAGACAAAACAGACGAGACUGAAUUAAAAGAAAAAAUCAUGUUGCAAACCUUCUCAAACUAUUUGUGCAUUCUGAGCUCACGAAAAUCAAAAGAACAGAGAGGAAACUGAAUGACAUUCACAUAAUAUACAGCACGGAAGAAACAGAAUAUAGAAAACAUAAUGCAACACAAAGGAAAACAACACUGGAGAAUCGGGAAGAAAGAAGAAAAGGCAGGAGGCCUGGAAAAGCAAACACUGUUACCCACAAAAAUAAAGGGAGUUUAUUUACAAAGGGACAUAAUAUGCAGUGAUAGAUAUGGGAAUAGAAAGGGACGUAUAAAAGGCUUGAUAAAGAAUGUGCAUGACAAAUGGUGUAUGUCUAGAGUAGUGGGAGAGAUAAUGAACAUUUUCAAACCUGCUAUAUGAGUGCUGCUAUCAAGUAUUUACAAAUAUAGGGAAUGGUUUAUGAAGUUUGUUAAUGGAAAUAGCCAGGAUAAGGGUGAUGCCUUUCAAAGAAAUAAAGGCUGUGAAACAACUCAGAAACUAGAAAUGAGCAAGUCAUUGGGACUUAAUAACUUGUUACAAUUAACUCUGUAUUGCUCCAAUUUGGUUUGGUUGUAGAAGAAUUUAUAUAAUGGUUGGAAUACACAAAAGCAGAUGAGGACCAGGAUAUAUAGAAAGCAAAUCUGCAGUAGAAAGGUCAAACCAGACAAAUUUAAUAGACAUCUUCAGCUGUGUAUGAAAGCUGAUACGGUAGACAGGGUCUGCUGACAUGGCCUGUUUUAGUUUAUAUGCAAAUGAAACUAAAAGGAAAUUAUGUUCUUCAGUCGGAAUUUGAACACAGGCCUUCAGCACAGCAUUCUGCUAAUACAACCAGCUCUUCCACUUUAGCAGCUGGAAUGGUGCAUACAGUUAAUUUCAUUAAUAUGUGACAUGGUAGAGCCAAGUGGGUGCAAAAGUAGUUAUUUUCAUAAACUGUUCUGUCUUGUCUGUGUACUUACAAAGCUGAGGACCCUUGAGAAGCAUAUCAUAUGAUGGAAGUGAAGUCAACAGUUGCCUAUCAAGAAGGAAGGCAGUACCUUGUUGUCUUACUUGUAAUAAUACUAUUCUGCCUGAUUAUUCUAUCAUCCUUUGCUACUUUCUCACACAACUUGCAUAUCUUUAGGUCAUUUAAUAUGAUUAUUUUAUAUCCUUUUCCACUUAUGUUGUUGCUGCUGUUUCCACUUCACUCACGUUCUGCUCUCCUGAGAUGUUGUUUCUCAGAUGUGUUGUUUUUGCAUUUUUUUAAUUAAGCUGACAUUUGAAAGUACUUUAUCCAAUGUUACCAGCUCAUAGUCAUUUCUGAACCUAUCUUGUUUAUUUCUCCUGGUGUAUAUCUUUACAUCCUCAUAAGACAGGCAUGCUUUCCCUGUUCUACCUUCUGCAGUUAUUCUUAAUCAUCCUUUUUAUGCUAAUAUUCUUUCCAGAUGAUAUGAAAGCAUACAGCAAACUGCUAAGUGAGAAAGCAGAACAGAAGGCUGGUGGUGUACUUAAAAUGUCAUCAGCAGUAAAGUACAGUAAAUUGCUUUUUCUUUUUUGACUCAAUGAUAUCCUGGCAGGAAUAUUUCGCACAGUUGUAGACAUCCCAUCACUGUAAAAUCAUUGACAUGGCUAAGAGAGUUCAAAUGAUUGCAAUAAAAACGUUGUGCAUUCAUUUGCAGAAUACUGUAAAUGUAAAGGUAAACUGGAAUACAAAUCUUGA